CUGGUCUUGAAAAAAAUGAUAUCACUUUAUAAUUUGGUUUGUCCGUAGAGGUUUUUUUAAAUUUAACUCUAGUAUUACGCAUAAAACAACAAGGAUUAUAAAACACUCGUAGUGCUACAUGAACAAAAUAGACAUAUAGAGAAUAAUUAAAAAAAGUAUAAUGUAAUGUCUGGUUUAGGGAGUUCGAACUUCAGCUUCUUGGUUUCUUAGUUAUUUCUAUACUUAUCAACGAAAAUUGUUGGAAAUGUGUGAAAAUAAAUGCAAAAGCACAGACUACGUAGCUAUUGAAUGUUUAAAUUUUUCCAAAAGUGUUUAAAAAUAAUAAAGUCAAGUUUUUCAUACCUUUUUAUAUAUUUUGCUUGUGACCCGAAAUAUAACCAUCAGUUGCUCCAAUAGAUAAGAGUCAAGCUCAAGAGAAAAUGUAUUUGUAUACCGGUAAUCAAAAUCACUCCUUCCGUGCACCUUGGAUUGCAAAAAGUUGAAACAAACUUUGACUUCAUAUUCUUAAUCAUCAAUUCUUUUAAAAAAGAGGCAAAAGAUACCAGAGGGACAUUCAAACCCAU
Molecule: long non-coding RNA, 563 nt
Filed under: Mytilus galloprovincialis (Mediterranean mussel)
Lineage: Eukaryota; Metazoa; Mollusca; Bivalvia; Mytilida; Mytilidae
Source: RNAcentral